UGGGGAAUAUUGGACAAUGGGCGAAGGCCUGAUCCAGCCAUGCCGCGUGUGUGAAGAAGGUCUUCGGAUUGUAAAGCACUUUAAGUUGGGAGGAAGGGCAGUUACCUAAUACGUGAUUGUUUUGACGUUACCGACAGAAUAAGCACCGGCUAACUCUGUGCCAGCAGCCGCGGUAAUACAGAGGGUGCAAGCGUUAAUCGGAAUUACUGGGCGUAAAGCGCGCGUAGGUGGUUAGUUAAGUUGGAUGUGAAAUCCCCGGGCUCAACCUGGGAACUGCAUUCAAAACUGACUGACUAGAGUAUGGUAGAGGGUGGUGGAAUUUCCUGUGUAGCGGUGAAAUGCGUAGAUAUAGGAAGGAACACCAGUGGCGAAGGCGACCACCUGGACUGAUACUGACACUGAGGUGCGAAGGCGUGGGGAGCAAACAGGAUUAGAUACCCCAGUAGUCCCUGAGCGGGCUGGCAAGGCGCAU
This 472-nucleotide ribosomal RNA is filed under the name uncultured bacterium. RNAcentral describes it as "bacterial SSU rRNA". It matches the Rfam family "Bacterial small subunit ribosomal RNA", at positions 355 to 825 of the family's 1533-position model. The record is from RNAcentral.